RNAcentral lists this ribosomal RNA (524 nucleotides) under uncultured bacterium. RNAcentral describes it as "partial 16S ribosomal RNA". It matches the Rfam family "Bacterial small subunit ribosomal RNA", at positions 28 to 523 of the family's 1533-position model. The record is from RNAcentral.
GACGAACGCUGGCGGCGUGCCUAAUACAUGCAAGUCGAGCGCAGGAAGCCGUCCGAACCCUUCGGGGGGACGACGGUGGAAUGAGCGGCGGACGGGUGAGUAACACGUAAAGAACCUGCCCAUAGGUCUGGGAUAACCACGAGAAAUCGGGGCUAAUACCGGAUGUGUCAUCGGACCGCAUGGUCCGCUGAUGAAAGGCGCUCCGGCGUCGCCCAUGGAUGGCUUUGCGGUGCAUUAGCUAGUUGGUGGGGUAACGGCCCACCAAGGCGACGAUGCAUAGCCGACCUGAGAGGGUGAUCGGCCACACUGGGACUGAGACACGGCCCAGACUCCUACGGGAGGCAGCAGUAGGGAAUCUUCCACAAUGGACGAAAGUCUGAUGGAGCAACGCCGCGUGAACGAUGAAGGCUUUCGGGUCGUAAAGUUCUGUUGUAAGGGAAGAACAAGUGCCGCAGGCAAUGGCGGCACCUUGACGGUACCUUGCGAGAAAGCCACGGCUAACUACGUGCCAGCCGCCGCGGUAA